Molecule: ribosomal RNA, 313 nt
Filed under: uncultured Coxiella sp.
Lineage: Bacteria; Pseudomonadati; Pseudomonadota; Gammaproteobacteria; Legionellales; Coxiellaceae
Description: bacterial SSU rRNA
Rfam family: Bacterial small subunit ribosomal RNA
Source: RNAcentral
GAACGCUAGCGGCAUGCCUAACACAUGCAAGUCGAACGGCAGCGGGGGGAGCUUGCUCCCUGACGGCGAGUGGCGGACGGGUGAGUAACACGUAGGAAUCUACCUUAAUUAUAAUAGUUAGUGGGGGAUAACCCGGGGAAACUCGGGCUAAUACCGCAUAAUCUCUUCAAAGCAAAGCGGGGGAUCUUCGGACCUCGUGCUAUGAGAUGAGCCUGCGUCGGAUUAGCUAGUUGGUAGGGUAAUGGCCUACCAAGGCGACGAUCCGUAGCUGGUCUGAGAGGACGAUCAGCCACACUGGGACUGAGACACGGCC